This 225-nucleotide ribosomal RNA is filed under the name uncultured bacterium. Its description in RNAcentral is "partial 16S ribosomal RNA". It matches the Rfam family "Bacterial small subunit ribosomal RNA", at positions 99 to 334 of the family's 1533-position model. The record is from RNAcentral.
CGGACGGGUGAGUAACACGUGGGCAAUCUACCUUUCGGUGAGGAAUACCGGCGAGAAAUCGCCGACAAUACCGCAUACGCUCGGGUAACCGAGCAAAGUCGCAAGACGCCGGAGGAGGAGCCUGCGCCCGAUUAGCUAGUUGGUGGAGUAAUGGUCUACCAAGGCGACGAUCGGUAGCUGGUCUGAGAGGAUGAUCAGCCACACUGGGAUUGAGAAACGGCCCAG